Molecule: RNase P RNA, 283 nt
Filed under: Chloroflexota bacterium
Lineage: Bacteria; Bacillati; Chloroflexota
Description: Chloroflexi bacterium (groundwater metagenome) RNase P RNA component class A
Rfam family: Bacterial RNase P class A
About the family: Ribonuclease P (RNase P) is a ubiquitous endoribonuclease, found in archaea, bacteria and eukarya as well as chloroplasts and mitochondria. Its best characterised activity is the generation of mature 5'-ends of tRNAs by cleaving the 5'-leader elements of precursor-tRNAs. Cellular RNase Ps are ribonucleoproteins.
Source: RNAcentral
CGAGCAGACCGGGCGGUCGCGGCGCAAGCCGAGGAAAGUCCGGACUCCAGAGGGCAACGUAGCGGGUAAUACCCGUCCGCCGUGAGGCGAGGACCAGCGCCACAGUGACGAACCCGCGCAAGCGGGGGUGAAACGCGGCAAGCUCUACGUGGAGCAAGAUCACGCAGGGGACCAUGGUGUGGCCCGCACCGUCCCCGGGUGGAUCGCUAGAGGCGGAGGGCGACCUCCGUCCGAGAUGGAUGACCGUCCACGACAGGAUCCGGCUUAGAGGUCUGCUCGGCAU